RNAcentral lists this ribosomal RNA (465 nucleotides) under Vreelandella stevensii. RNAcentral's name for it is "partial 16S ribosomal RNA". It matches the Rfam family "Bacterial small subunit ribosomal RNA", at positions 338 to 795 of the family's 1533-position model. Lineage: Bacteria; Pseudomonadati; Pseudomonadota; Gammaproteobacteria; Oceanospirillales; Halomonadaceae. The record is from RNAcentral.
CCUAUGGGCGGCAGCAGUGGGGAAUAUUGGACAAUGGGGGGAACCCUGAUCCAGCCAUGCCGCGUGUGUGAAGAAGGCCCUCGGGUUGUAAAGCACUUUCAGUGAGGAAGAACGCCUGGUGGUUAAUACCCAUCAGGAAAGACAUCACUCACAGAAGAAGCACCGGCUAACUCCGUGCCAGCAGCCGCGGUAAUACGGAGGGUGCGAGCGUUAAUCGGAAUUACUGGGCGUAAAGCGCGCGUAGGUGGCUUGAUAAGCCGGUUGUGAAAGCCCCGGGCUCAACCUGGGAACGGCAUCCGGAACUGUCAAGCUAGAGUGCAGGAGAGGAAGGUAGAAUUCCCGGUGUAGCGGUGAAAUGCGUAGAGAUCGGGAGGAAUACCAGUGGCGAAGGCGGCCUUCUGGACUGACACUGACACUGAGGUGCGAAAGCGUGGGUAGCAAACAGGAUUAGAUACCCCGGUAGUC